GAUCAUAUGGCCGAGUGGUCUAAGGCGCUGCAUUCAGGCUGCAGUCCGAAAGGGCGAGGGUUCGAAUCCCUCUGUGGUCA
Transfer RNA from Paramecium tetraurelia, 80 nucleotides. It matches the Rfam family "tRNA". From Rfam's summary of the family: Transfer RNA (tRNA) molecules are approximately 80 nucleotides in length. Their secondary structure includes four short double-helical elements and three loops (D, anti-codon, and T loops). Further hydrogen bonds mediate the characteristic L-shaped molecular structure. tRNAs have two regions of fundamental functional importance: the anti-codon, which is responsible for specific mRNA codon recognition, and the 3' end, to which the tRNAs corresponding amino acid is attached (by aminoacyl-tRNA synthetases). tRNAs cope with the degeneracy of the genetic code in two manners: having more than one tRNA (with a specific anti-codon) for a particular amino acid; and 'wobble' base-pairing, i.e. permitting non-standard base-pairing at the 3rd anti-codon position. Lineage: Eukaryota; Ciliophora; Oligohymenophorea; Peniculida; Parameciidae. The record is from Rfam.